GGGGCGGCUCGCGCCAGCGCGUAGAGCGCCCGCAGAGCUGGGAAAAUCGGUCCGAGAGGCCUGAUCUGAGAGGACCACAGUUGAAACUUCAUCUUUCUCUGAAACCAUCACGCCUUAGCCAAUCCUAACGAAAACGUAUAAGCUUUGUUGAACAGAGUUGGAGGGAAUCAUUGCUGUGAGAAGCUGACAGUGGUGGAUGACAAGCUUGAAUUUCCAGAGGAAAUAGCAUGUCUGUGAAACUCACCCAUGCCAUCUGGAAAGGAAAAAGUUAAGUUGCAUUUCUGCAAUACAUUCUCUCCCUUCCCUGAGCUGCUCCUGGAAUAUAAAGAAAGCAAGGAAAUAUUUACUGGGCCUUCAGCUUUCUGUACUACUUCGGAACAGCACUAGCAUCUAUCUCAGGGUUUAAAAUAUGGAAGUUCUUGCCUUCCUUGAAUCUUUUCUCCCAGAAAUAACAUAUUGGCUCUCUUCCCUGUGACAUGCCUCAUCUGACAUUGGCUGGCUUUCAUAUAAAACCUUUGUUUUAGCCUACUAUCAAUUCAACUUUUACAUUGACAAAACGUAAUUUUUGGUUGUCAAUGUAAAAGUUGACAUUUUUACAUUCAACUUUAAUUUAAAUGCUGAAUUUAAAUUUAAAUGCUGAAAAUUUAUUUAAACACUUAAAAUGAUAUUAGAAGAGGUAUUUUAUGUUUUUAAACAGAGAUAUAUUUCAUUUUUAUAUGCAGUCAACAGAUCACAUGUGUAUGUCUCUUAUGUGUUCCUGUGUGGGAAUAGCUUGAAUUACUACAUAAGUUCUCUGAGAAUAUUAAGUUCAUUUAGGGGAACAGGACAUAUCUAUAUGAAAAACAGAAAUAAUACUACAAACAAAAGAGAGAUCACGAGAUAACAUGUAAUUAAUUCUCAGUGAAUGACAUGUCAUGAAAUCAUCAGAAGAGAUGAGGAUAUGGGAAAAGCUUUAUGAAAGUAGUCAGAACCAUAAGGAAGAUUCGGUUUUGUUAAACAGAAAGACCUUUUUCCAUUGUGGUAUUAAGUUUAAUAUGAUUUUCAUUGUAUUAAAAUACUAAUGCAGUAAGUUGAAAAUAUAAUUGCAUUCUUUUCAUUUAAUCUAUUGUAAAAUAUAUAAUCAAAAUGAUAUACUUGUAAAAUAAUUACAUAUAUAAUAAAAUCAAUAUACCUGUAAAAGAAAAAAAAAAAAAAAA
RNAcentral lists this long non-coding RNA (1196 nucleotides) under Homo sapiens (human). RNAcentral's name for it is "FSIP2 antisense RNA 2, transcript variant 3 (FSIP2-AS2)". Lineage: Eukaryota; Metazoa; Chordata; Mammalia; Primates; Hominidae. The record is from RNAcentral.